GCCGGGCGGUGGCGCGUGCCUGUAGUCCCAGCUACUGGGGAGGCUGAGGCUGAAGGAUUGCUUGAGUCCAGGAGUUCUGGGCUGUAGUGCGCUAUGCCAAUUGGGUGUCUGCACUAAGUCCGGCAUCGAUAGGUAACUUCUCAGGAGCGGGGGACCACAGGUUGCCAAAGCAGGGGUGAACCAGCCCAGGUCAGAAACGGAGCAGGUCAAAACUCCUGUGCUGAUCAGUAGUGGGAUGGUGCCUGUGAAUAGCCACUGCACUCCAGCCUGGGCAACAUAGUGAGACUCUGUCUCUU
This is an unclassified non-coding RNA of Callithrix jacchus (white-tufted-ear marmoset), 296 nucleotides long. It matches the Rfam family "Metazoan signal recognition particle RNA". Rfam says of the family: The signal recognition particle (SRP) is a universally conserved ribonucleoprotein. It is involved in the co-translational targeting of proteins to membranes. The record is from Ensembl. Lineage: Eukaryota; Metazoa; Chordata; Mammalia; Primates; Cebidae.